Small nucleolar RNA from Eutrema salsugineum, 106 nucleotides. It matches the Rfam family "Plant small nucleolar RNA R71". From Rfam's summary of the family: R71 is a member of the C/D box family of snoRNAs containing the C (UGAUGA) and D (CUGA) box motifs. Multiple nearly identical copies of this snoRNA have been identified in Arabidopsis, and it is thought to function as a 2'-O-ribose methylation guide for 18S ribosomal RNA. The record is from Rfam. NCBI's taxonomy places the organism in Eukaryota, Viridiplantae, Streptophyta, Magnoliopsida, Brassicales, Brassicaceae.
AAUCCAUGAUGGGAACAUUGGUUUGUGUAGCUUCUAAACCUCUCCCAGCUUCCCCAAUGCUUUCAUUGUUGUGCUGGGUAAAGCUUAAUAUCUGGUUCCUCAACUU